UUUAUCGGUAAUGCCAGAAAAAUAUUUAUAUUAGAUGGACACCAUGUAUAAUUUUUUCAUAUCGAUAAUUUUGUCAUAUCGAUUCCGUAUAUUAUGAUUGGUUUUUUUUUUUUUUUUUUUUUUUUUUUUUUAAGAAACAUUUAAGUUAGAACGAAGAAGAUAUUGAUAGAGAACAAUCGGUCGAUUAACUGAUUUGUUUAUUAUUAUUUUUCUUUUAUUAAUAUUAACAACAAUGUUUUAUAAUUGUUGGACUACUUAUCGAGUGAGUUUUUAUCAUGCUAGUAGGACAUGGUAUUAUUAGGUCGUUAAAAAUGUCACAGUGUAUAUACUCGUACAUCUAUCACAAUUGUGUGUUACAUCCCAUUAAUUCGAUUAGUGUUUUGAUGAUUUACAUUCGACUAAGUUUCGUAGAGGGUUAAGAGUCAAAAUCCUUGAUCAUGUUGGCGGUGAAAAUCUAUAAUCUUUUUGAUAAUUCG
Molecule: long non-coding RNA, 476 nt
Organism: Vespa mandarinia (Asian giant hornet)
Lineage: Eukaryota; Metazoa; Arthropoda; Insecta; Hymenoptera; Vespidae
Source: RefSeq, a predicted model, not a curated record